CUGCAGCUUGUCUUCAUCCACAUGCUUCUUCCGAAGGCCAGAAGAAUGUUCUAGUUUCCUGCACAUGCCUUUGAUUUCAGCAUGUGGCUGAUCUGACCCAUCCCUGCUCCUGACUUAUUAGGCACGUCCUUGGAAGAUUUGGCGCUUCGUCAUGCCCCAGAUCCCAUCUUAAUUUCAGCUGUCUCCAAAGAAGCCACAGAGCAGCCAGUCCAUCUUGAAGCCAUCAGCUUCCAUUGAGGGCCUGGGAGCAUCUGUCUGAAACCAACGUAUUAUUUUUCUGGCUGGCAAAUCAGUAGCAGGACUGUAUGCUGUGCCCACUAACACAAAGUAUUUACGGACAGGAGCAAGUUGUCCUCUGAGAAGCUCCACCCAGCAGCUGACUCAAACAGAUACAGACACCCACAGCCAAACAGUGGAUGGAGCUUGGGGACUCUUAUAGAAGAAAUGGAGGAAGGAUUGAGGCCCCGAAGGGGAUAAGAACUCCGCCACAGGAAGACCAGCAAAGUCAACUAACCUGGACCCUUGGGACUCUCAGAGUCUGAACCACCAACCAAAGAACAUACACGGGCUGGACCUAGGCCUUUCUGCUCAUGUGUAGCAGUCUAGAAUUCUGGGCUCUGCUCCAUGGCUGAUGGG
RNAcentral lists this long non-coding RNA (636 nucleotides) under Rattus norvegicus (Norway rat). RNAcentral's name for it is "long non-coding RNA NONRATT013998". The record is from RNAcentral. Lineage: Eukaryota; Metazoa; Chordata; Mammalia; Rodentia; Muridae.